UGGUGGAGUGAUUUGUCUGGUUAAUUCCGUUAACGAACGAGACCUUAACCUAUUAAAUAGUUACAUGAACCUGGAUUUAUUUCCACUUUUGUUCAUGGAUAACUUCUUAGAGGGACUCUUCACGUAAAGAGUGAAUGGAAGUUUGAGGCAAAAACA
This 156-nucleotide ribosomal RNA is filed under the name uncultured eukaryote. RNAcentral's name for it is "partial 18S ribosomal RNA". It matches the Rfam family "Eukaryotic small subunit ribosomal RNA", at positions 1299 to 1458 of the family's 1831-position model. The record is from RNAcentral.